This is an RNA transcript of Capsella rubella, 1592 nucleotides long. It is a transcript of the gene named trihelix transcription factor ASIL2, with no coding region annotated. NCBI's taxonomy places the organism in Eukaryota, Viridiplantae, Streptophyta, Magnoliopsida, Brassicales, Brassicaceae. The record is from RefSeq and is a predicted model, not a curated record. The transcript has 4 exons.
CAUACAUGCACACAACGCUCAACGCUGGUUAGUUUUUGUUUUUUUUAAUAUGUUUUAAAAACCUUCGUUCCUCCUCAAUUCCGUUACCGUCACCGUCACUGUCCACCUUCCGUUUAUCUCAUCCUCACCGUUCGUACUCUCCGAUCUAGCUCACCGUCGUUCACCGUAUGAUGGACUCCGCUCACGAUUCCUUUUCGCCGGGGUCUUCUCGUCCUUCGCCGUCGACUCUUUCUCGUGAAGAUUGCUGGAGCGAGGAAGCCACCUUCACGCUCAUCCAAGCCUGGGGUAAUCGCUUCGUUGAGCUUAGCCGUGGCAAUCUCCGUCAGAAACACUGGCAAGAGGUCGCUAACGCCGUCAACGACCGUCACUUUAACUCCGGCCGAAACGUUUCCGCCGCCAAAUCGCAGCCGUAUCGCACCGACGUUCAGUGUAAAAACCGGAUCGAUACUUUGAAGAAGAAGUACAAAGUCGAGAAGGCUAGGGUUUCGGAAUCCAAUCCCGGCUCCUACAUCAGCCCUUGGCCUUUCUUCUCCGCUCUCGAUGACCUUCUCCGGGAAAGCUUUCCGACGUCUAGUACUCCAGAUUCAACUGAUAACAACCACCCUAACCAGAGGCUAUCACUUCCGAUGGCGAUUAUUCCAGUUCCGGUCGCUCCACGAUCGGCGAUCCCCAGACGUCCGGCGACGUCGCCGGCGAUUAUACCUCACGUCGGCGACGAUUUACUCGGAUUCCGCGGAAAUCUUAACGCAUUCGCGGCAGCCGCGGCGGCGGCGGCGUGUCCGGCGUCUGAGGAUGAUUCGGAAGGUUCAAGGUCCAGAUCGAGCGGUCGUAGCGGAAGUAACAAGAAGCGGGAGAGGGAAAUUGAGAAGAAGCAAGGUUACAAAGAAGUUGCCGACGCAAUUGAGAGGCUUGGACAGAUAUACGAGAGGGUCGAGGAGAGGAAAAGGAAGGAGAUGGUGGAAUUGGAGAAGCAGAGAAUGAGAUUUGCCAAGGAACUGGAAUGCCAUAGGAUGCAGCUCUUCACUGAGAUGCAGGUUCGUCUUCACAAGAUCCGGCGUACCUCUGGCCCCAAAGGACCGACUUCCUCCGCCUCCGCCGCUCUUCAGUAUGGGAUGAUGGAUUUCCCGAGUUACUUGUAAGGGUUUGUGUAAUCCGUUCGAACUCUAAAGGUGAAGAAACAAAAAUCCGAGGCCACACGGCUCGAUGAGAUUGUUCGAACAAUGUAGCGUUUGGGGGUGCUGCUAAUUCGCUCUCUCAGCUCUAUACCCACGGCAUGAACCACCAACGCGUCUCUUUCCUCGCCGGUGAACGUCGCGGCAUGGUCUAUUCUGAGAAACUUUACCAAUGGGUUGUGAGACAAGAAGAACAAGGAACUAGAGUACCCACAAUUUAUAUUAUUACCUACUUGCAGGUUCUUUCCUUUGAAACAGUAUCUGGUUUGUGAUUAUGCUUUGUACUCAAGCUUCAAACUUGUGCUUACUUAAUUGGUCUUUAGAUUGAUUAUAUACCACCUCUCGUGAAUCUACCUUUGUUUGACUAGCUUCGAAUACUACACGUCCAAAGUUCUUGAAUUUGAUCUGAAAAGUUAUUCA